Molecule: ribosomal RNA, 464 nt
Filed under: uncultured bacterium
Lineage: Bacteria
Description: partial 16S ribosomal RNA
Rfam family: Bacterial small subunit ribosomal RNA
Source: RNAcentral
ACGAACGCUGGCGGCGUGCUUCACCCAUGCCAGUCGCACGGAAAGGCCCUGCUUGCAGGGUACUCGAGUGGCGAACGGGUGAGUAACACGUGGGUGAUCUGCCCUGCACUUCGGGAUAAGCCUGGGAAACUGGGUCUAAUACCGGAUAGGAGCCAUUUUUAGUGUGAUGGUUGGAAAGUUUUUUCGGUGUAGGAUGAGCUCGCGGCCUAUCAGCUUGUUGGUGGGGUAAUGGCCUACCAAGGCGGCGACGGGUAGCCGGCCUGAGAGGGUGGACGGCCACAUUGGGACUGAGAUACGGCCCAGACUCCUACGGGAGGCAGCAGUGGGGAAUAUUGCACAAUGGGCGCAAGCCUGAUGCAGCGACGCCGCGUGGGGGAUGACGGCCUUCGGGUUGUAAACUCCUUUCGCUAGGGACGAAGCUUUUUGUGACGGUACCUAGAUAAGAAGCACCGGCUAACUACGUG